AUGGGUGGUGGUGCCGCGAGGAGGGUUCUCGAGGCGUGGAAGCUCGGAGUGGUCAAGUACGGCGACGCCCUCAGGCUCCAGGAGAGGCUCGUCGCCGACCGGAGAGCCGGCCGGGUCCCGGACCUCGUGCUCUCGCUGCAGCAUCCGCCUACCUACACCCUCGGCAAGCGGCGCACCGACCACAACCUGCUCGUGCCGGAGUCAAGCCUCGCGGGCCUCGGCGCCGAGCUCUACCGCACGGAGCGGGGCGGCGACGUCACCUUCCACGGCCCGCGCCAGGCCGUGCUCUACCCCAUCCUCUCGCUCCGGGACAUUGGGCUAGGCGCGCGGAGGUAUGUCGAGGGGCUCGAGUCCGCCAUGAUCGAGGUUGCCUCUCUGUACGGCGUCAAGGCGCGGCCGGGGGGCGCCUGCGAGACCGGCGUGUGGGUCGGGGACAGGAAGAUUGGGGCCAUCGGGGUCAGGAUCUCGUCAGGGUUUACCUGCCAUGGCCUGGCCUUCAACAUCGACCCUGAUUUGGGCUACUUCAAGCACAUCGUGCCCUGCGGCAUUGCUGACAAGGAGGUCACAUCGCUGCGGCGGGAGGCCGCGGUGGAACUCCCUCCUGACGAGGUGAUCCAUGGUCAGCUCGUGCAGAGCUUGGCGACAACCUUCCGUUUCAGUGAUGUUAAAGUCAAGGAUGAUUCCGAGUGUGCAGACAUGAUUAGCUCAGCUGCAACUGAGCAACACUGA
This 729-nucleotide ribosomal RNA is filed under the name Triticum aestivum (bread wheat). RNAcentral describes it as "partial small subunit ribosomal RNA". Lineage: Eukaryota; Viridiplantae; Streptophyta; Magnoliopsida; Poales; Poaceae. The record is from RNAcentral.